ACACUUUAGACUGUCGACCAAUCGGAAGGCCAAAUUGUCUAAAGUCUACAGCGGCCAUUGCACAGCGCCCGUUUUGACUGCAUAAUUUAUGGUAGUGGGGGACUGCGUUCGCGCUCUCUCCUG
Molecule: small nuclear RNA, 123 nt
Filed under: Sinocyclocheilus grahami
Lineage: Eukaryota; Metazoa; Chordata; Actinopteri; Cypriniformes; Cyprinidae
Description: U1 spliceosomal RNA (ENSSGRG00000015057.1)
Source: RNAcentral